RNAcentral lists this long non-coding RNA (384 nucleotides) under Numida meleagris (helmeted guineafowl). Its description in RNAcentral is "lncRNA (ENSNMEG00000021515.1)". The record is from RNAcentral. Lineage: Eukaryota; Metazoa; Chordata; Aves; Galliformes; Numididae.
AUGUUCAAAUGGAGGCCUGCAACUAGGCAUGUUUGUAGUAUCUGCCUGGCUUGGACCUGGCCUUGCAGAAGCCCACAUCUGAGGAGUCAGUCCCCCUACAACUGCUGUGCUGCUGGAGAACAGAGAAUGACAUACUCAGUGGCAGAUUAUUUCCUAGUAAAGGUUCUGGUGAUCAAGUGGACUCAAUUAGAAAAAUAUCCUCAGACUACCACAGCAGAGCUGUUUUCCUCCAGAGCACCCAGUGCAGGUUGCCACCAGCACCAUCCUCAAAACCAGUUACUGUUUUUAGGAGCCAGUCCACAGCAUCUGAUCAUGACCCUCUGCAUGUGUAAGCACUUACCUGAGGUGAGCCUGGUCAGGUGGCAGAGGCUUGUGCUGGGCUGA